This 253-nucleotide ribosomal RNA is filed under the name uncultured bacterium. Its description in RNAcentral is "partial 16S ribosomal RNA". It matches the Rfam family "Bacterial small subunit ribosomal RNA", at positions 524 to 776 of the family's 1533-position model. The record is from RNAcentral.
CACGUAGGGUGCAAGCGUUGUCCGGAAUUAUUGGGCGUAAAGGGCUCGUAGGCGGUCCGUCACGUCGGGAGUGAAAACUCGGGGCUCAACCCCGAGCCUGCUUCCGAUACGGGCGGACUAGAGGUAGGUAGGGGAGAACGGAAUUCCUGGUGUAGCGGUGGAAUGCGCAGAUAUCAGGAGGAACACCGGUGGCGAAGGCGGUUCUCUGGGCCUUACCUGACGCUGAGGAGCGAAAGCGUGGGGAGCAAACAGG